AUAUCGAAACAUGUCCGGAAGUGGGGGAUAACGUAGCGAAAGUUACGCUAAUACCGCAUAUGCCCUGAGGGGGAAAGGGGGGGAUCGCAAGACCUCUCGCUUUCGGAGUGGCCGAUAUCGGAUUAGCUAGUUGGUGAGGUAAAGGCUCACCAAGGCGACGAUCCGUAGCUGGUCUGAGAGGACGACCAGCCACACUGGAACUGAGACACGGUCCAGACUCCUACGGGAGGCAGCAGUGGGGAAUUUUGGACAAUGGGCGCAAGCCUGAUCCAGCCAUACCGCGUGAGUGAAGAAGGCCUUCGGGUUGUAAAGCUCUUUCAGCCGGAAAGAAAUCGUGCAACCUAAUACGUUGUAUGGAUGACGGUACCGGAAGAAGAAGCACCGGCUAACUACGUGCCAGCAGCCGCGGUAAUACGUAGGGUGCGAGCGUUAAUCGGAAUUACUGGGCGUAAAGCGUGCGCAGGCGGUUUGGUAAGACAGACGUGAAAUCCCCGGGCUUAACCUGGGAACUGCGUUUGUGACUGUCAGACUAGAGUGUAGCAGAGGGGGGUAGAAUUCCACGUGUAGCAGUGAAAUGCGUAGAUAUGUGGAGGAAUACCAAUGGCGAAGGCAGCCCCCUGGGUUAACACUGACGCUCAUGCACGAAAGCGUGGGGAGCAAACAGGAUUAGAUACCCUGGUAGUCCACGCCCUAAACGAUGUCAACUAGGUGUUGGGGAAGGAGACUUCUUUAGUACCGCAGCUAACGCGUGAAGUUGACCGCCUGGGGAGUACGGUCGCAAGAUUAAAACUCAAAGGAAUUGACGGGGACCCGCACAAGCGGUGGAUUAUGUGGAUUAAUUCGAUGCAACGCGAAAAACCUUACCUACCCUUGACAUGUCAGGAAGUUUCCAGAG
This 895-nucleotide ribosomal RNA is filed under the name uncultured Gallionella sp. RNAcentral describes it as "bacterial SSU rRNA". It matches the Rfam family "Bacterial small subunit ribosomal RNA", at positions 115 to 1005 of the family's 1533-position model. The record is from RNAcentral. Lineage: Bacteria; Pseudomonadati; Pseudomonadota; Betaproteobacteria; Nitrosomonadales; Gallionellaceae.